GACGAACGCUGGCGGCGUGCUUAACACAUGCAAGUCGAACGGAAAGGCCUGCUUUCCCUUGUGGAUUGCGGGUACUCGAGUGGCGAACGGGUGAGUAACACGUGAGUGAUCUGCCCCCAACUUGGGUAUAAGCCUGGGAAACUGGGUCUAAUUCCCGAUAGGACUGCAGGGUGGUGCCUGUGGUGGAAAACGAUUUUCUAGUGGUUGGGGAUGAGCUCGCGGCCUAUCAGCUUGUUGGUGGGGUAAUGGCCUACCAAGGCGGCGACGGGUAGCCGGCCUGAGAGGGUGGACGGCGACAUUGGGACUGAGAUACGGCCCAGACUCCGACGGGAGGCAGCAGUGGGGAAUAAUGCACAAUGGGCGGAAGCCUGAUGCAGCGACGCCGCGUGGGGGAUGACGGCCUUCGGGUGGUAAACUCCUUUCGACCGCGAGGAAGCCACCUGGUUGGAAGGGUGGUGACGGUAGUGGUAGAAGAAGCACCGGCUAACUACGUG
This 494-nucleotide ribosomal RNA is filed under the name uncultured bacterium. RNAcentral's name for it is "partial 16S ribosomal RNA". It matches the Rfam family "Bacterial small subunit ribosomal RNA", at positions 28 to 507 of the family's 1533-position model. The record is from RNAcentral.